CUGUGCUCUUAAUGGUUCCCAUUCAUUACUCUUGUCCUUUCUCACCCAUCAAACUCAACAGUUUAUGUCCUUCCUCUCCCCCCCCCGCCCCCCUCCCCCCCCGGGGCCUGGCAGUGUAGAAGUUUUCGUUUCUGUGUUCCCUUCCCUUGUUGGUGUCUGCGUACAGAACGACAUCAGGGUGUGCUUUUGUUAAAUCUGUGGGCAUUAAAAUGACAUUGCUGUCUCUCACCUGGAUUUCAUCUCACGUCCUCUCUCGGACGUACAGUACAAAGAUACCUGGCCGUAGCCUCAGACCUCCGUGGCAGCCCUGACUAUGAAGGCUUGGCCGUGUCACGUGACCUUUCUGCAUCCUGCUGCUGAGUAUAGAGAAAACCUUUGGAACACUUUUCUCAUCUCUGUUUCACGAACAGUUUUCUCAUUUCUGUUUCACGAAAUGGGUAGGAUCAAAUGAGACGACGUGAGUCGGGAGUAGGGAAGGGCUACGUGCUUAGACACCUCCCAUGCUCGGCUCAGUUGGCCGGCAACAGCUUAAAUGACAGCACUUCUCAGCAUAGGAAGCAGCAAUCAUCCGCACCUGUUGCCAAUUAAAGCAUUAAUGGCCCAUCAAUCAAGGAGAAAUCACUGGGAAUGGAGAUGACACAGGCUCUGUGCUCCUGUCAGUUUUUUGGAAGUCAUCCUUUGCUUCAAG
This 688-nucleotide long non-coding RNA is filed under the name Mus pahari (shrew mouse). Its description in RNAcentral is "lncRNA (MGP_PahariEiJ_G0005848.1)". The record is from RNAcentral. Lineage: Eukaryota; Metazoa; Chordata; Mammalia; Rodentia; Muridae.